AUACGGAGGAUGCGAGCGUUAUCCGGAUUUAUUGGGUUUAAAGGGAGCGUAGGUGGGAUAUUAAGUCAGCUGUGAAAGUUUGGGGCUCAACCUUAACAUUGCAGUUGCUACUGGUUUUCUUGAGUCCGGUACAGGUGGGCGGAAUUCGAGGUGUAGCGGUGAAAUGCUUAGAUAUCACGAAGAACUCCGAUCGCGAAGGCAGCUCACCGGGCCGGAACUGACACUGAUGCUCGAAAGUGCGGGUAUCAAACAGGAUUAGAUACCCUGGUAGUCCGCACAGUAAACGAUGAAUACUCGCUGUUUGCGAUACACUGUAAGCGGCCAAGCGAAAGCGUUAAGUAUUCCACCUGGGGAGUACGCCGGCAACGGUGAAACUCAAAUGAAUUGACGGGG
RNAcentral lists this ribosomal RNA (393 nucleotides) under uncultured bacterium. RNAcentral's name for it is "partial 16S ribosomal RNA". It matches the Rfam family "Bacterial small subunit ribosomal RNA", at positions 523 to 918 of the family's 1533-position model. The record is from RNAcentral.